Solanum stenotomum is the source of this 1151-nucleotide long non-coding RNA. RefSeq lists it as uncharacterized. NCBI's taxonomy places the organism in Eukaryota, Viridiplantae, Streptophyta, Magnoliopsida, Solanales, Solanaceae. The record is from RefSeq and is a predicted model, not a curated record. The transcript is spliced from 3 exons.
AGCUAGAGUGCCCUCUCAUUGUUGAUCCUAUGAAGCUUACUAAAUUGAGAGAGCUAAUCCCUAACUGAUGUUUUUUAGGAGGAAUGGACAAUCUUGGAAAUUUGUUCUGCUUGUCCAGCGGUAGUAGAUUUACGUCUCAUCAGGUGUCAAGGAGUACAAGAUCUAUUAAUAUCUGAUCUCCCCAAACUUCUAAAGCUUACAAUACAUCAACCAGAUGAAAUAGGUUUGGAAUAUAGAAGUAUCAGGAUACAAGCUGUUAAUCUUCAAAGUCUAUAUUACAGAGGAUGUAACAGCCAGUUAACGUUUGACGUGACCACUUUCAAGUUUCUGAAAGAACUGAGCAUAACAUUUGAGCAGAUUACUGACCCGAUAGUAGAGAAUAUUGUUUCUGAACUGCCCCUUCUUGAGAAAUUAGAAUUGAACUUUUGUUUCAAGGCUUAAAUUUACAAGUUGUAUGCUUAGACAGUUAACAUUCCGUUCUGGCAAGAGUCUAAUGGAAAUUGGGAUCGACACUCCAAACCUGCUCCGUUUUGAAUAUGAAGCUCCUAAAUUGCCUGUCAUAUUCUCUAUGACAACAUCUUCCCUACAGGAAUGUUAUCUCAAAUUAAUGCCAAACGAUCAUCUAAGCACGAGUUGGUUUCAGAAUUUAAAAGAAUAUCUAUCUAGAUUUGAAUAACUGAAUUUACUGGUUCUGUGUAUAGGUUCAACGACUAAUACAUUCAAUGUGGAAGAACUGAAUGGAACAUUAUCCUGCCCGCCAUCUAUUGUCAAGCAUGUGAAGAUAGAGCAAGUUCUGGAGUCUCUAAAUUUUGAAACUCUGUUAGAUGGUUUGUUUUGGAUUUGUCAUCCAGAGACUCUGUCAAUUGAAAGAAUCUGGUGGGAACAAUGAGGAUUUUAUACAGUUUUUGAGGGAGAAACUAAUGCAAAGAGAGAUUGUUCCUGUCUGUUGUGACUCGAGACGUUUCAAAUGUUGGAGGUACUGCCUUAAAUUGAAGUUGAGAACUCCACUGCACGGUAUGGGGAUCUUGCUUCAUCAUCUCGAGCCUCGACCAUUUGUUUCAAACUGACAUGGUAGAAUAUGCUGACAUUAGAAGCGCACUGGUCUAGGGCUGAAAAUUCAUCUUGUCCAUCUUGAUUUGCUUAUAUUCACA